Molecule: long non-coding RNA, 394 nt
Organism: Scatophagus argus
Lineage: Eukaryota; Metazoa; Chordata; Actinopteri; Scatophagidae
Exons: 3
Source: RefSeq, a predicted model, not a curated record
ACGCAGCAGGUGCCACUCGUCCUGUUGGAUGGUCCUGGUCAGGUUCAGAGGGAUGUUCCUCAAUCUGAUUGGCUGGGAGAAGUGAUACUUAACAGCCGUGCAGCGAUCUGCAAUACCUGCAGAGAAGAGACAGGUGAGACAGACCCGACAUGCGGACACAGCCAGACACCUUCAAGAACUGUUGCCAACAGGAUGCCAGGAGGGACCUGGCGAUAUGAAGACCUGUUUGUGUUGGGAUCGACUGAUCUGAUCUGAGCUCAGGGUGAGAAAACACCUGAUGACAUCACGAUGAAGGUAAACCACAGACACGUCAGCAGUCAAGGCUGCUCAGCCAGCGUGUUAGCCGUUCCUGUCUGACAGCUCGCUAACAGCUUUAGUGACAGAGUGAGCGAGG